CGGACGGGUGAGUAACACGUGGGUAACCUACCUAUGAGACUGGGACAACUUCGGGAAACCGGAGCUAAUACCGGAUAAGAUAUCGAACCGCAUGGUUCGAUAGUGAAAGAUGGUUUUGCUAUCACUUAUAGAUGGACCCGCGCCGUAUUAGCUAGUUGGUGAGGUAACGGCUCACCAAGGCAACGAUACGUAGCCGACCUGAGAGGGUGAUCGGCCACACUGGAACUGAGACACGGUCCAGACUCCUACGGGAGGCAGCAGAA
This 263-nucleotide ribosomal RNA is filed under the name uncultured Staphylococcus sp. RNAcentral's name for it is "partial 16S ribosomal RNA". It matches the Rfam family "Bacterial small subunit ribosomal RNA", at positions 99 to 354 of the family's 1533-position model. The record is from RNAcentral. Lineage: Bacteria; Bacillati; Bacillota; Bacilli; Caryophanales; Staphylococcaceae.